RNAcentral lists this ribosomal RNA (257 nucleotides) under uncultured bacterium. Its description in RNAcentral is "partial 16S ribosomal RNA". It matches the Rfam family "Bacterial small subunit ribosomal RNA", at positions 96 to 354 of the family's 1533-position model. The record is from RNAcentral.
UGGCGACGGGUGAGUAACGCGUGGGUAACCUGCCCCAUACCGGGGGAUAACAUUCAGAAAUGAGUGCUAAUACCGCAUAAGACCACAGUGCCGCAUGGCACAGGGGUCAAAACUCCGGUGGUAUGGGAUGGACCCGCGUCUGAUUAGGUAGUUGGCGGGGUAACGGCCCACCAAGCCGACGAUCAGUAGCCGACCUGAGAGGGUGACCGGCCACACUGGGACUGAGACACGGCCCAGACUCCUACGGAAGGCAGCAG